This 364-nucleotide ribosomal RNA is filed under the name Photobacterium pectinilyticum. RNAcentral describes it as "partial 23S ribosomal RNA". It matches the Rfam family "Bacterial large subunit ribosomal RNA", at positions 102 to 517 of the family's 2925-position model. The record is from RNAcentral. Lineage: Bacteria; Pseudomonadati; Pseudomonadota; Gammaproteobacteria; Vibrionales; Vibrionaceae.
AGUCUGGGAUUCCUGAAUGGGGAAACCCACUUACAUAAGUAAGUAUCCUGUUGUGAAUACAUAGCAACAGGAGGCAAACCGGGGGAACUGAAACAUCUAAGUACCCCGAGGAAGAGAAAUCAACCGAGAUUCCGAAAGUAGCGGCGAGCGAAAUUGGAUUAGCCCUUAAGCUUUUAAUGAGACAGAUGAAGGCUCUGGAAAGUGCCGCAAUAAAGGGUGAUAGCCCCGUAAUCGACAUCUCAUCAUCAGUGAAAACGAGUAGGGCGGGACACGUGAUAUCCUGUCUGAAUAUGGGGGGACCAUCCUCCAAGGCUAAAUACUACUGACUGACCGAUAGUGAACCAGUACCGUGAGGGAAAGGCGA